ACAGAAAAUCGACUGAAGCGGCAGCGAAGCCUAAGGUCAACCCGAAGAAUCCUACGGUUAAGAACACAGCAAAAGCGCCUACCGCGAGGCAUCGAGUGACAAAAGCAGUGCAGGGAAAACAACGUGGACCAAAAGCCAAGAAAAAUAAGAGACUCCAGCACAACGCCAAGAAGAAUCGUGCCAAUGUUUCUCAUUCUAAGAGCAAGGCAGUGACUAAAAUCAGUCAAAGGUAU
Paramacrobiotus metropolitanus is the source of this 233-nucleotide long non-coding RNA. RefSeq lists it as uncharacterized. Lineage: Eukaryota; Metazoa; Tardigrada; Eutardigrada; Parachela; Macrobiotidae. The transcript is spliced from 3 exons. The record is from RefSeq and is a predicted model, not a curated record.